RNAcentral lists this ribosomal RNA (763 nucleotides) under uncultured bacterium. Its description in RNAcentral is "bacterial SSU rRNA". It matches the Rfam family "Bacterial small subunit ribosomal RNA", at positions 17 to 762 of the family's 1533-position model. The record is from RNAcentral.
UCAUGGCUCAGGAUGAGCGCUGGCGGCGUGCCUAAUACAUGCAAGUCGAGCGAACGGACGAGAAGCUUGCUUCUCUGAUGUUAGCGGCGGACGGGUGAGUAACACGUGGAUAACCUACCUAUAAGACUGGGAUAACUUCGGGAAACCGGAGCUAAUACCGGAUAAUAUUUUGAACCGCAUGGUUCAAAAGUGAAAGGCGGUCUUGCUGUCACUUAUAGAUGGAUCCGCGCUGCAUUAGCUAGUUGGUAAGGUAACGGCUUACCAAGGCAACGAUGCAUAGCCGACCUGAGAGGGUGAUCGGCCACACUGGAACUGAGACACGGUCCAGACUCCUACGGGAGGCAGCAGUAGGGAAUCUUCCGCAAUGGGCGAAAGCCUGACGGAGCAACGCCGCGUGAGUGAUGAAGGUCUUCGGAUCGUAAAACUCUGUUAUUAGGGAAGAACAUAUGUGUAAGUAACUGUGCACAUCUUGACGGUACCUAAUCAGAAAGCCACGGCUAACUACGUGCCAGCAGCCGCGGUAAUACGUAGGUGGCAAGCGUUAUCCGGAAUUAUUGGGCGUAAAGCGCGCGUAGGCGGUUUUUUAAGUCUGAUGUGAAAGCCCACGGCUCAACCGUGGAGGGUCAUUGGAAACUGGAAAACUUGAGUGCAGAAGAGGAAAGUGGAAUUCCAUGUGUAGCGGUGAAAUGCGCAGAGAUAUGGAGGAACACCAGUGGCGAAGGCGACUUUCUGGUCUGUAACUGACGCUGAUGUGCGAAAGCGU